ACCUUUAUAAUAUACUUCAGUUGAUUAGAGGUUGGUGAUGACAACGCCAAGAUUGCAGGUUCGAUCCCCGUAAGGACA
Podarcis lilfordi (Lilford's wall lizard) is the source of this 78-nucleotide non-coding RNA. The record is from the annotation of a GenBank genome assembly. Lineage: Eukaryota; Metazoa; Chordata; Lepidosauria; Squamata; Lacertidae.